AGCUUUGCACAGUGGCAGUAUCAUAGCCAAUGAGGUUUAUCUGAGGUGUGAUUAUUGGUAAUUGAAAACUUUUCCCAAUAUCCCACCGUGACAUGAUACAUACAUACACACAAUAAAAUACUAUUUAGAGAAAU
Non-coding RNA from Canis lupus familiaris (dog), 134 nucleotides. The record is from Rfam. NCBI's taxonomy places the organism in Eukaryota, Metazoa, Chordata, Mammalia, Carnivora, Canidae.